This 699-nucleotide ribosomal RNA is filed under the name Bradyrhizobium sp. RNAcentral's name for it is "bacterial SSU rRNA". It matches the Rfam family "Bacterial small subunit ribosomal RNA", at positions 168 to 903 of the family's 1533-position model. The record is from RNAcentral. Lineage: Bacteria; Pseudomonadati; Pseudomonadota; Alphaproteobacteria; Hyphomicrobiales; Nitrobacteraceae.
ACCGGAUAAGCCCUUACGGGGAAAGAUUUAUCGCCGAAAGAUCGGCCCGCGUCUGAUUAGCUAGUUGGUGAGGUAAUGGCUCACCAAGGCGACGAUCAGUAGCUGGUCUGAGAGGAUGAUCAGCCACAUUGGGACUGAGACACGGCCCAAACUCCUACGGGAGGCAGCAGUGGGGAAUAUUGGACAAUGGGCGCAAGCCUGAUCCAGCCAUGCCGCGUGAGUGAUGAAGGCCCUAGGGUUGUAAAGCUCUUUUGUGCGGGAAGAUAAUGACGGUACCGCAAGAAUAAGCCCCGGCUAACUUCGUGCCAGCAGCCGCGGUAAUACGAAGGGGGCUAGCGUUGCUCGGAAUCACUGGGCGUAAAGGGUGCGUAGGCGGGUCUUUAAGUCAGGGGUGAAAUCCUGGAGCUCAACUCCAGAACUGCCUUUGAUACUGAAGAUCUUGAGUUCGGGAGAGGUGAGUGGAACUGCGAGUGUAGAGGUGAAAUUCGUAGAUAUUCGCAAGAACACCAGUGGCGAAGGCGGCUCACUGGCCCGAUACUGACGCUGAGGCACGAAAGCGUGGGGAGCAAACAGGAUUAGAUACCCUGGUAGUCCACGCCGUAACGAUGAAUGCCAGCCGUUAGUGGGUUUACUCACUAGUGGCGCAGCUAACGCUUUAAGCAUUCCGCCUGGGGAGUACGGUCGCAAGAUUAAAACUCA